RNAcentral lists this long non-coding RNA (1416 nucleotides) under Theobroma cacao (cacao). RNAcentral describes it as "long non-coding RNA (TCAC_LNC006294)". The record is from RNAcentral. Lineage: Eukaryota; Viridiplantae; Streptophyta; Magnoliopsida; Malvales; Malvaceae.
UUCUUUUACAUUUAAAAGCAUAGCCGUUCCUUGGUGUUGGUCGAGUUUCACCCUCAUGUGGUGGUUCGGCGUGAGGUGAACUCUAACGUUACCUUAGGAGAUACCCUCCACCCUUCUCGUACCAAGGUAAAAUAUAACAAGGUUUACCGUGCCCUUCUCAUAGGCUGGUCCUCGAAAACCCGCCCACUGCAGUAAGCUAAUCAGAUAACCCACCAAUUCAAUCAAAUUUUCGAUAGCAUGACAUGGCUAAUAUACUAUUACCAGCCUGUCAAGGCAAAGCAAAAUAGUUCAUAUAUUCCACACAAACAAAAUUUCAGCCAUGCUUGCCAUCACAUUGUCAUAAGCCAUCAAUUCAAACCAUAUGUCAAACACGAGUAUAUAACACACGUAUACAGUCUCCACUUACUCAAUUUCCAAAACCAAUAUUCAAUUUCAAAACAAGUUAUAAAUCUCAUUUCGUUCAAUCAACACUUCAAUUAUAAAACAUAAUAGUUUACAAUUUAAAUUCAUUUUUCUUUAAAACAUAAAAACGGGUAUAAACUACUUUAGAUAGUUAAGAUGAUCGUCUGAUUACUCACAUUAAUGGGAGCAUGGAGUACUCUUAUUCUUGGUCCUCGGGUACGAUAUCCUUACUCUUACUAGGGGGCUCACCACCUAUACCUAGUACAUAACAAGUAAUUUAACACAUUUGUAACAAACUAUUAUAAAACUAUUUCAAGCUCUACAUGAAUGCAUGAAAUGGAAUGAGAAGUGUCCAAAUAAUCACUUAAAGACGGUGUUCUACGUAGGUUCAAUUGUGAUCGGAAUAAAUUUGUAUUCGACCUAAUUCGAACUAUACACCAUUGAUUUAACCGAAACAUCCGAUUCAACUCCAAAUAUAUUCAUUACACUUCCAAUACUCCAAUUACACCCAAAGUACCUCAAUGAACUCGAUUUUCUCAUUGUUGUUCAAAUCGUUUACUAAAGGAACCAUACAUUUCCAUAACCGUUUUCAAUGUCUGGCACCACAAUUCACCAAAUACGAGUUAAAUAACAUGAGAUAUAACAAGAUUCAUCAUCAAUAUGUCCUUUAGUAAAUUCGGCCAAGGAGGGUUUGAUGAAGAACAUGUGGUUUUCAUGCUUGUUUUUCACACCGAAUAUCACAAAACAACUAAAAAUGCGUAUAUAGCAUGAAAUCUAACAAAACCCAUGAUCAAAACCUCUCCCCCUAGGUUUGGCCAGCAAACUUUCCUUCAUGAAAUCUUGAGUUUCAACCAUAGAAAAUGAAAAAGAAAACGUGGGAAAGGUAGAUCUUAAGCUAAAAUUAAAAAAUCUUACCUUUACUUGCUUGAUUCCUUGAAAUCCAAUAAUUUCUCUUGAAUUUUUCCUUCCUAGGGUUUGUUCUUCUCUUUUUCUCUUUGUUCCCUUGCUUGGCCG